RNAcentral lists this ribosomal RNA (1519 nucleotides) under Candidatus Kerfeldbacteria bacterium RIFCSPLOWO2_01_FULL_48_11. RNAcentral describes it as "bacterial SSU rRNA". It matches the Rfam family "Bacterial small subunit ribosomal RNA". The record is from RNAcentral. Lineage: Bacteria; Candidatus Kerfeldiibacteriota.
UUUCUUGAGAGUUUGAUCCUGGCUCAGGAUGAACGCUGGCGGCGUGUCUUAGGCAUGCAAGUCAAGGGGGUUUCGCGAGCAAUCGUGGAACAACCGGCAAACGGGAGCGUAACACAUUGGUAACCUGCCCCCAUCACGGCCAUAACCCGGAGAAAUCUGGACUAAUUGCCGAUGGUCUCUCAUACCCGAUUGGGUGUGAGAGUAAAGGUUUCGCGCAAGCGAAGCCAGAUGGGGAGGGGCCUAUGGUCCAUCAGCUUGUUGGUGAGGUAAUGGCUCACCAAGGCGACGACGGAUAGCGGGUGUGAGAGCAUGACCCGCCUCACUGGGACUGAGAAACUGCCCAGACUCCUACGGGAGGCUGCAGUCAAGAAUCUUCCCCAAUGGCCGAAAGGCUGAGGGAGCGACGCCGCGUGCAGGAUGAAGCCCUUCGGGGUGUAAACUGCUUUUCUGAGGGAAAAAUCAAUGAUGGUACCUCAGGAAUAAGGCGCUGCUAACUUCGUGCCAGCAGCAGCGGUAAUACGAAGGCGCCAAGCGUUAUCCGGAUUUACUGGGCGUAAAGAGCUCAACGGUGGUUUCACGCGUUCUCGGUUAAAUAUGCAGGCUCAACCUGCAUGCCGCCGGGAAAACGGUGAAACUUGAGGGCAGAAGAGGCAGACGGAAUUGCCGGUGUAGUAGUAAAAUGCGUUAAUAUCGGCAAGAACACCCAAUGCGAAGGCAGUCUGCUAGGAUGACCCUGACACUUCACGAGCGAAAGCGUGGGGAGCGAUACGGAUUAGAUACCCGUGUAGUCCACGCCGUAAACGUUGGAUACUAGGUCUUGGGAGUAUCGACCCUCUCAGGAUCGUUUACUCAAGCUAACGCAGUAAGUAUCCCGCCUGGGGAGUACGGCCGCAAGGCUAAAACUCAAAGGAAUUGACGGGAACCCGCACAAGCGGUGGAGCAUGUGGUUUAAUUCGACGAUAACCGAGGAACCUUACCAGGGCUUGAAAUCCUAGCUGCACAGCCGCAGAAACGUGGCUUCCUUCGAGGGUGCUAGGACAGGUACUGCAUGGUUGUCGUCAGCUCGUGUCGUGAGAUUUUGGGUUAAGUCCCCUAACGAGCGCAACCCCUAUGGUAUGUUACAUUUGUUCAUGCCAGACUGCCCCGGAUAACGGGGAGGAAGGCGGGGAUGACGUCAAAUCAGCAUGGUCCUCUGAUGCCCUGGGCUACACACGUGCUACAAUGGGAAGUACAAUGGGUUGCUAAGUCGUAAGACGGAGCCAAUCCCAUCAAAGCUUCUCUCAGUUCGGAUUGAGGGCUGCAACUCGACCUCAUGAAGCUGGAAUCGCUAGUAACCGCAGAUCAGCUAUGCUGCGGUGAAUACGUUCUCGGGUUUUGUACACACCGCCCGUCAAGCCAGGAGAGUCGGGGAUGCCCGAAUCCCGCAUUUGCGGGAGAAGGUAGACUCGAUGAUAAGGGCUAAGUCGUAACAAGGCAGCGGUAGCGGAAGCUGUCGCUGGAUCACCUCCUUUCUAGGGAG